Molecule: ribosomal RNA, 232 nt
Filed under: uncultured bacterium
Lineage: Bacteria
Description: partial 16S ribosomal RNA
Rfam family: Bacterial small subunit ribosomal RNA
Source: RNAcentral
UACAGAGGUCCCGAGCGUUGUUCGGAUUCAUUGGGCGUAAAGGGUGCGUAGGUGGCGGGGUAAGUCUGGUGUGAAAUCUCGGGGCUCAACCCCGAAACUGCACUGGAUACUGCCUUGCUCGAGUACUGGAGAGGAGAUUGGAAUUUACGGUGUAGCAGUGAAAUGCGUAGAUAUCGUAAGGAAGACCAGUGGCGAAGGCGAAUCUCUGGGACAGUUACUGACACUGAGGCAC